This 429-nucleotide ribosomal RNA is filed under the name Chloroflexota bacterium. Its description in RNAcentral is "Chloroflexi bacterium partial 16S ribosomal RNA". It matches the Rfam family "Bacterial small subunit ribosomal RNA", at positions 355 to 776 of the family's 1533-position model. Lineage: Bacteria; Bacillati; Chloroflexota. The record is from RNAcentral.
UAGGGAAUCUUCGGCAAUGGACGAAAGUCUGACCGAGCAACGCCGCGUGAGUGAAGAAGGUUUUCGGAUCGUAAAACUCUGUUGUUAGAGAAGAACAAGGACGUUAGUAACUGAACGUCCCCUGACGGUAUCUAACCAGAAAGCCACGGCUAACUACGUGCCAGCAGCCGCGGUAAUACGUAGGUGGCAAGCGUUGUCCGGAUUUAUUGGGCGUAAAGCGAGCGCAGGCGGUUUCUUAAGUCAGAUGUGAAAUCCUCGGGCUCAACCUGGGAACGGCAUCUGAUACUGGCAAGCUUGAGUCUCGUAGAGGGGGGUAGAAUUCCAGGUGUAGCGGUGAAAUGCGUAGAGAUCGGGAGGAAUACCGGUGGGGAAGGCGGCCCCCUGGACGAAGACGGACGCUCAGGUGCGAAAGCGUGGGGAGCAAACAGG